Molecule: ribosomal RNA, 389 nt
Filed under: uncultured bacterium
Lineage: Bacteria
Description: bacterial SSU rRNA
Rfam family: Bacterial small subunit ribosomal RNA
Source: RNAcentral
AACGAACGCUGGCGGCGCGCCUAAUACAUGCAAGUCGAACGAGAAGCUGUAGCAAUACAGUUGUACAGUGGCGAACGGGUGAGGAAUACAUGGGUGACCUACCCUCGAGUGGGGAAUAACCAGCCGAAAGGUUGGCUAAUACCGCGUACGCUUCCCAGUCUACGGGUUGGGAAGGAAAGCGAUGCCGUGGGUAUCGCGCUCAAGGUUGGGCUCAUGUCCUAUCAGCUUGNGGUGGGGUAACGGCUCACCAAGGCAACGACGGGUAGCUGGUCUGAGAGGACGAUCAGCCACACUGGCACUGCGACACGGGCCAGACUCCUACGGGAGGCAGCAGUAAGGAAUAUUGCGCAAUGGGCGAAAGCCUGACGCAGCGACGCCGCGUGGGGGGA